RNAcentral lists this ribosomal RNA (1649 nucleotides) under human gut metagenome. Its description in RNAcentral is "bacterial LSU rRNA". It matches the Rfam family "Bacterial large subunit ribosomal RNA", at positions 422 to 2062 of the family's 2925-position model. The record is from RNAcentral.
GCACGUGAAACCCCGUGGGAAUCCGGGAGGACCAUCUUCCAAGGCUAAGUACGAAUCAGCGACCGAUAGUGAACCAGUACCGUGAGGGAAAGGUGAAAAGAACCCCUGUCAGGGGAGUGAAAGAGAAUCUGAAACCUGUUGCUUACAAGCUGUGGGAGCCACAUUACGGUGGUGACCACGUGCCUUUUGCAUAAUGAGUCAGCGAGUUAAUCUGUCGUGCGAGGUUAAGCGAAAGCGGAGCCGAAGCGAAAGCGAGUCUGAUAAGGGCGGCAAGUACGGCGGAUUAGACCCGAAACCGGGUGAUCUAUCCAUGAGCAGGUUGAAGCAAGGGUAAAGCCUUGUGGAGGACCGAACCAGUAUCGGCUGAAAACGAUUUGGAUGACUUGUGGCUAGGGGUGAAAGGCCAAUCAAACCCGGUGAUAGCUGGUUCUCCCCGAAAUAUAUUGAGGUAUAGCCUCGGGGAUUGUCUGUCGGAGGUAAAGCACUGACAAGGCUAGGGGUCCUACCAGAUUACCAAACCUUUUCAAACUCAGAAUGCCGAACAGAUGUACCCCGGGAGUCAGACGGCGGGUGCUAAGGUCCGUCGUCGAGAGGGUAAGAGUCCAGAUCGACAGCGAAGGUCUCCAAAUCCAUGCUCAGUGGUGAAGGUAGUGGAACCGUGUAGACAGCCAGGACGUUGGCUUAGAAGCAGCCAUCGUUUAAAGAAAGCGUAAUAGCUCACUGGUCUAAUGACUCUGCGCCGAAAAUGUAACGGGGCUAAGCAUGGUACCGAAGCUUCGGAUUCCCCGUAAGGGGUCUGGUAGGGGAGCGUUCUCUUCGGGCAGAAGCGACAUUGCAAAGUGCCGUGGACUGGAGAGAAGUGAUUAUGCUGACAUGAGUAACGAUAAAACGGGUGAAAAACCCGUUCGCCGGAAGACCAAGGGUUCCUGUCCAACGUUAAUCGGGGCAGGGUGAGUCGGCCCCUAAGGCGAGGCUGAAAAGCGUAGUCGAUGGGAAACGGGUUAAUAUUCCCGUACUUGGAUAAACUGCGAUGUGGGGACGGAGCAGGUUAGGUUAUCGCACUGUUGGAUAUGUGCGUUUAAGUUGGUAGGUGAGAAGUUUAGGCAAAUCCGGACUUCUAUCACACCGAGAGAUGAUGACGAGGCUCUACGGAGCUGAAGUAACCGAUACCACACUUCCAGGAAAAGCCACUAAGCUUCAGGUUUAUCUAAACCGUACUGAAAACCGACACAGGUGGUCAGGUAGAGAAUACUCAGGCGCUUGAGAGAACUCGGGUGAAGGAACUAGGCAAAAUAGCACCGUAACUUCGGGAGAAGGUGCGCCGGCGUAGAUUGUAGUCCCUAGCGGGCGAAGGUUGAACCGGUCGAAGAUACCAGCUGGCUGCAACUGUUUAUUAAAAACACAGCACUCUGCAAACACGAAAGUGGACGUAUAGGGUGUGACGCCUGCCCGGUGCCGGAAGGUUAAUUGAUGGGGUUAGCUAACGCGAAGCUCUUGAUCGAAGCCCCGGUAAACGGCGGCCGUAACUAUAACGGUCCUAAGGUAGCGAAAUUCCUUGUCGGGUAAGUUCCGACCUGCACGAAUGGCGUAACGAUGGCGGCGCUGUCUCCACCCGAGACUCAGUGAAAUUGAAAUCGCUGUGAAGAUGC